AAAGGGAGACCUAAUUCGGGUAGGAGACGAAAAAAAAGUAGUCCCUACCAAGAAUCAAUCCCAAAAGGUCGGAACGAGGUAUGUGGCUUUCAAACUAGGUUCUGGGUUCAUAAAAGACCUGAAUCAGGAAUAAGGGCUAUUAGCUCAGGUGGUUAGAGCGCACCCCUGAUAAGGGUGAGGUCCCUGGUUCGAGUCCAGGAUGGCCCACCUGCACAGGUGGCAAAAACAAGAGAAACGAGGAAUCAGCACCUUAUCUUACUCAUAUAGUAGGAGAGAAUGCUGGCUCUGAGUACAGAGUCCAGAGGAACCUUGAAAACUGCAUAGAGCUAGGUGAAAAAGCCAAAAAAGAAGACCGCAAG
RNAcentral lists this transfer RNA (359 nucleotides) under uncultured Microcystis sp. RNAcentral's name for it is "partial 16S-23S ribosomal RNA intergenic spacer". The stretch from base 134 to 207 matches the Rfam family "tRNA". The record is from RNAcentral. Lineage: Bacteria; Bacillati; Cyanobacteriota; Cyanophyceae; Chroococcales; Microcystaceae.